CCACCACAGAAAUAAUAAUUGCCUCUAUGAAUUUGUUAUUAUUUUCCCAUUCUAUACAUAUGUUGCAUGCUGGCCUUGCGAUCCGAUAGGAUGGACACCACAAUUCCUUCCCCUAUGGUCAAGUUAGGCCACUCAUGUUUGGACUUGGUUAGAAGAUGGCACUUGUCACAUUCCAAAUAUAACAAAAAUGAGGCUUUAUUAUUAUUCUGUGGGGGUAAAUAUGAAUGUUUCUGUCCUUCCUUUGGAUAUGAUACUGGAACAAGGCUAAUGGCAUUUACAUAUCAAAGAGAUUGGCUCAUCCCUUACAAGGUACAUGCCAAAUGGAUGAAGAGACAUUCAGACUUUUCCAAGUGUAGAACCUCAUACCUUGCAGAGCCUUGAUUACUUCACAUCCAUAUAGUAAAAUCCUUUUCACAUUGCUAUGCAUUCAUACUACCCCUU
Molecule: non-coding RNA, 441 nt
Organism: Pelobates cultripes (western spadefoot toad)
Lineage: Eukaryota; Metazoa; Chordata; Amphibia; Anura; Pelobatidae
Source: the annotation of a GenBank genome assembly